UCGUGUUAAGGAUGGAAGUGACAUCCUUUUUGUUUUUCACAAAAAGAUAUAACGGACAGCCUGACUUUUG
Molecule: small RNA, 70 nt
Filed under: Mangrovimonas sp. DI 80
Lineage: Bacteria; Pseudomonadati; Bacteroidota; Flavobacteriia; Flavobacteriales; Flavobacteriaceae
Description: Flavo-1 RNA
Rfam family: Flavo-1 RNA
Source: Rfam by way of RNAcentral